UUGGGUUAAGUCCCGCAACGAGCGCAAUCCACGUUUUUAGUUGCCAGCAUUGAGUUGGGCACUCUAGAGAGACUGCCGGUGACAAACCGGAGGAAGGUGUGGAUGACGUCAAGUCAGCAUGCCCCUUACGUUCUGGGCUACACACGUACUACAAUGCUUCGGACAAAGGGCAGCGAGCGCGCGAGUGCAAGCCAAUCCCAUAAACCGAGGCUCAGUUCAGAUUGCAGGCUGCAACUCGCCUGCAUGAAGGCGGAAUCGCUAGUAAUCGCAGGUCAGCAUACUGCGGUGAAUACGUUCCCGGGCCUUGUACACACCGCCCGUCACACCAUGGGAGUUGGCCACGCCCGAAGUCGUUACUCCAACCGUUCGCGGAGGAGGAUGCCGAAGGCAGGGCUGAUGACUGGGGUGAAGUCGUAACAAGGUAACCA
Molecule: ribosomal RNA, 428 nt
Filed under: uncultured cyanobacterium
Lineage: Bacteria; Bacillati; Cyanobacteriota
Description: bacterial SSU rRNA
Rfam family: Bacterial small subunit ribosomal RNA
Source: RNAcentral